Molecule: long non-coding RNA, 1653 nt
Organism: Raphanus sativus (radish)
Lineage: Eukaryota; Viridiplantae; Streptophyta; Magnoliopsida; Brassicales; Brassicaceae
Exons: 2
Source: RefSeq, a predicted model, not a curated record
ACUUGAUAUACAAAAAAAAAAGAUUAUUUAGGUCUUUGGAUGUGCACUGUUAACUUUUUAAAUAUUUCAGCAAUGUCCCUGUGACAUCCUUUCUAAAGCUUCUUCGCCUCUUUACAGCUCCUCCGUGACAGUUUACUGAAAUUACUUCUCCGGUGCUCCGUCGUUUCGCUGGAAUUACUCUUCUUCCUUUCGAAGUUGCUUUUCCUCCCUUCAAAAUUACUCUUUCGAUGCUCUGUUAUUGUUGCAUCGAAAACGCCAUUGACGCUCGAGCUUCUCGCGGCGGAGAAGGAGCUCCUCACGCCGGAGUAAGACGACAUGUCUUCUUCCGACCCAAUAAAGUACAUGUUUCCUCCUCGGAAGCUACAAAGCGAUCUCGGUCUUCAAGCACUCUGUUUCUUAUAAUCCAAAACGUUAGAAUCGUCGGAUUAAUCUUCCUGAAGAACCUCCCGAGUCUCGAGAAUCUAUGAUGCUUCGUCUUGUUGAUCUCAAUGCAGCUGCUACUACUCCUCUUGAAGACCACAACCUCCUCGGUUCUCGUCACAUCCUCUGUUCUAGUUGUCUUCCUCUGUUUCGUCCCUGGCGUCUACGGCGUCGUUCAAGAUUGAUUGAAGGAAAGCGUUUGCGGUUAGAUUCUGAUGACUCCACGGUAGAGACGGUGCAGAGGACAAUACUAUGGAGGGUCUCAGCUAAAAGAAGUCAAAGCCCACUCAGCUUUCCAAUUUUCUAUGGCUAAACUGGAAGAGGAGAUCUGCAACAUUCUUGUAUCCCAAACAUUUGUUUCAAACCUGAUUUUUGAAGAAUCAUCAGUUUCCUCUUCUUCCUCAUGCGCUGAAACUAGAGAAGAUAGCACCGGCGAUGGUGAUGUUACAGAAGAAGAUGAUGUUACUGCAAAAGAUGGUUAUGGUUAAGCCGCGUAGAAGAAUUACAGAUCCACAAACAGAGGAACUAAACAGUAAUUUCUACCUUCUUUCCUUUUCUUUUCCGACAGAUUGUGCAAAUUUAGUAAAGUAUUGUAUUCUUACCUAAUUAAUUUAAUUUCUAUGUAUAUACAGCUAAAUAGCUCUAAAGUUUAUGUGUUAUCACGAAUAUAUCGCACAGUUUAAUUAAAAAAAUUAAACACUUUGAAGUCAUACUACAGAUUAAAACGAUUGGAUCUUGAUUUUAACACAAGUUUGUCAACCUUACAAGUUGUACAAGAUUAAUAAGAAGACUCCUCUUUCGAGAAAACUGUUAAAAGUAAUGAUAAUUUAUUGUUUUUAAAAAAUAAUGAUAAUUUAUUGGUUGAAAAAUAAUGAUAGUUUACAGUUUUUACCUUUUGAAAAGAAUAAAUAUAUUUUGAACUUAGCCUCGCACCUUACCGUUCACAGCUUUACAGUAAUAAGAUUCGAUUUCAAAGUAAAAUACAGUAUCAUUUGAAUUUCUUUCCUUUUGUACAAAUUCUUUUUUCUCAUAUUCUUCCUAAACAAACUCAACCAAAAGAAAAACAAAAGAAGACUUCUUUUCUGUCUCUAUCUCUCUAUUUACACAAUAACCUAAUAUUAAUAUUUCUCCAAAAACCUAAUAAUCUUUUUAUUCUCUCCUCAACAACUGUUUUUCUGCCUUAAUACUAUUUUUACAAAAUGACCAUUAUUACUACAAACUCAGCCCAGAAAA